This 248-nucleotide ribosomal RNA is filed under the name uncultured bacterium. Its description in RNAcentral is "partial 16S ribosomal RNA". It matches the Rfam family "Bacterial small subunit ribosomal RNA", at positions 524 to 769 of the family's 1533-position model. The record is from RNAcentral.
UACGGAGGGGACUAGCGUUGUUCGGAAUUACUGGGCGUAAAGCGCACGUAGGCGGAUUUGUAAGUCAGGGGUGAAAUCCCGGGGCUCAACCUCGGAACUGCCUUUGAUACUGCAAAUCUCGAGUCCGGAAGAGGUGAGUGGAAUUCCUAGUGUAGAGGUGAAAAUUCGUAGAUAUUAGGAAAGAACACCAGUGGCGAAGGCGGCUCACUGGUCCGGUACUGACGCUGAGGUGCGAAAGCGUGGGGAGC